This 492-nucleotide ribosomal RNA is filed under the name Rallidens mcfarlanei. RNAcentral's name for it is "partial 16S ribosomal RNA". It matches the Rfam family "Bacterial large subunit ribosomal RNA", at positions 1814 to 2582 of the family's 2925-position model. Lineage: Eukaryota; Metazoa; Arthropoda; Insecta; Ephemeroptera; Rallidentidae. The record is from RNAcentral.
CAUCGCCUUUUGUCAAAAUAGAAGGUCUAGCCUGCCCACUGAAAUUUAAAGGGCCGCGGUAUAUUGACCGUGCAAAGGUAGCAUAAUCAUUAGUCUUCUAAUUAAAGGCUGGUAUGAAUGGCUGGACGAGGUGCUGGCUGUCUCUUUAAAACUAAAAUGGAAUUUAACUUUUUAGUCAAAAGGCUAAAAUAUAAUUGGAGGACGAGAAGACCCUAUAGAGCUUUAUAUUUUAUAAACUUAACUCUUUUAGUAGGAUUUCGGUUUAGUUGUAAAAAUAUUUCGUUGGGGUGACGGGAAGAUAAAAAUAACUCUUUUUAGACAUUAACACUGAUGAGUGGGUAAUUGAUCCGUUAUUUACGAUUAAAAGACUAAGUUACCUUAGGGAUAACAGCGUAAUCUUUUUCGAGAGUUCUUAUCGACAAAAAGGGUUGCGACCUCGAUGUUGGAUUAAGGAUUAUUUUUGGGUGCAGAAGUUCAAAAUUUAGGUCGUCG